Molecule: ribosomal RNA, 468 nt
Filed under: uncultured bacterium
Lineage: Bacteria
Description: partial 16S ribosomal RNA
Rfam family: Bacterial small subunit ribosomal RNA
Source: RNAcentral
GACGAACGCUGGCGGCGUGCUUAACACAUGCCAGUCGAACGGAAAGGCCCUGCUUUUGUGGGGUGCUCGAGUGGCGAACGGGUGAGUAACACGUGAGUAACCUGCCCUUGACUUCGGGAUAACUUCAGGAAACUGGGGCUAAUACCGGAUAGGAGCUCCUGCUGCAUGGUGGGGGGUGGAAAGGUUCGGCGGUGGGGGAUGGACUCGCGGCUUAUCAGCUUGUUGGUGGGGUAGUGGCUUACCAAGGCUUUGACGGGUAGCCGGCCUGAGGGGGUGACCGGCCACAUUGGGACUGAGAUACGGCCCAGACUCCUACGGGAGGCAGCAGUGGGGAAUAUUGCACAAUGGGCGGAAGCCUGAUGCAGCAACGCCGCGUGCGGGAUGACGGCCUUCGGGUUGUAAACCGCUUUCGCCUGUGACGAAGCGUGAGUGACGGUAAUGGGUAAAGAAGCACCGGCUAACUACGUG